GAUGAACGCUGGCGACGUGCCUAAUACAUGCAAGUCGAGCGAACGGACGAGAAGCUUGCUUUUCUGAUGUUAGCGGCGGACGGGUGAGUAACACGUGGAUAACCUACCUAUAAGACUGGGAUAACUUCGGGAAACCGGAGCUAAUACCGGAUAAUAUUUUGAACCGCAUGGUUCAAAAGUGAAAGACGGUCUUGCUGUCACUUAUAGAUGGAUCCGCGCUGCAUUAGCUAGUUGGUAAGGUAACGGCUUACCAAGGCAACGAUGCAUAGCCGACCUGAGAGGGUGAUCGGACACACUGCAACUGCGACACGGUCCAGACUCCUACGGGAGGCAGCAGUAGGGAAUCUUCCGCAAUGGGCGAAAGCCUGACGGAGCAACGCCGCGUGAGUGAUGAAGGUCUUCGGAUCGUAAAACUCUGUUAUUAGGGAAGAACAUAUGUGUAAGUAACUGUGCACAUCUUGACGGUACCUAAUCAGAAAGCCACGGCUAACUACGUG
This 497-nucleotide ribosomal RNA is filed under the name uncultured bacterium. RNAcentral's name for it is "partial 16S ribosomal RNA". It matches the Rfam family "Bacterial small subunit ribosomal RNA", at positions 28 to 507 of the family's 1533-position model. The record is from RNAcentral.